AUGUUACUUCUGUGUCAGACUCUCUUGUCUUGUCUUGUUUUGCCAUGUUCUUGGACAGCAGUCAGUGGGCCAGAGCAGCAGGAUCUAGUGGUAGACCAUGACAGAAAAAAUCCUCAGCUGUGGUCCAUCUGCCCUCCUGCAUCACAGCUGUUUGGAGAGGAGCAACAUGAAAUGGGGGAGGAGCAACCCAGGAAGUCUCUGAAGCUUCAUGGGAUAGCUUCAAUGUGCUUCACCUUGAUAUGUCUACAGCAGGACAAAAAUACACAACUCACUGAAGAGAUGCCCAGUUCUACCUGCUGCAUCACAUCUGCCUUCCCCCAAAUUGGCGAUACUCUUGCAAGGGAUAAAAGCUCUGACUGUAAAUCUCACUGUUCCUGAUCGGAAAUGAAUUGAACGGCUCCUUCUGCCCAUAGGGAGGUCAGAGACCACACAAAUACUGUGCAAAAGGCUCACAAUGAAAUGUAUCCUUUUUGUUACUCUUUGGGAAGGGACUUUUGGACCAAAUGCUUGCUCCAUUCGGACAGCACAAAGAAAAACACCAAKAGAUUUUAAAUUAUACAGAAAUAUAUUGAUGUCACUGGUGGGAAUCUAAGAAAGCAAGGCACUUGUAAAGAUGGUAUGUGCACUUCAGUGCAGGUACAUCAUGGUCUUACAGAAUACUGAAAGCAAAGCCAAUCUCCACCAGCCCCAUGCGAGUUAGUAUUAUGGUUUUUAGAAGUCUCUAAGAACUGUUCCUUAGCUCUGGUCUUCUUGCCUAAUAAUAUUUUAAUGUGCUUGAUGUGUAUUGGAAUGUGGAAGAAAUAUAAAAAAAAAAAAGCCUCAGCCAUCUUCACAUUUUAUGCUACUAGAAAGUCCAAUUACCUGUCCUUAGUCUGGCAAAUGUCUCGUAUAGGAAGGAUUGAUAAAUUCUUUGUUCGUUCAUUCGUUUAGUCAGGAGUAACGAAACCACGAUCGGGUUGAUAAUCUCUUGCAUCUGAUUUGUCAGAGAUUUAGCUGUUAACCACAGACAGCUGUGGUUUUUUACGUGGAGUUUUAUCUUUUCUGUUAAGUGUCCUCUCUCUUAAAAUGAUGGAACAAGUGUCUGCUAAUAAAAAGACUGCCUGGCUUUCUGUUAUGUUUGGG
This 1122-nucleotide long non-coding RNA is filed under the name Apteryx rowi (Okarito brown kiwi). Its description in RNAcentral is "lncRNA (ENSARWG00000009628.1)". The record is from RNAcentral. Lineage: Eukaryota; Metazoa; Chordata; Aves; Apterygiformes; Apterygidae.